UGCUGACUUAGCUCAGUUGGCAGAGCACGUCAUUAGUAAUGAUGAGGUCGAAGGUUCGAAUCCUUUAGUCAGCACAAG
RNAcentral lists this transfer RNA (78 nucleotides) under Lactobacillus gasseri 202-4. Its description in RNAcentral is "tRNA-Thr". It matches the Rfam family "tRNA". Rfam says of the family: Transfer RNA (tRNA) molecules are approximately 80 nucleotides in length. Their secondary structure includes four short double-helical elements and three loops (D, anti-codon, and T loops). Lineage: Bacteria; Bacillati; Bacillota; Bacilli; Lactobacillales; Lactobacillaceae. The record is from RNAcentral.